Molecule: small nuclear RNA, 107 nt
Organism: Nomascus leucogenys (northern white-cheeked gibbon)
Lineage: Eukaryota; Metazoa; Chordata; Mammalia; Primates; Hylobatidae
Source: Ensembl
GUGCUCACUUUGGCAGCAUAUAUACUAAAAUUGGAACAAUACAGAGAAGAUUAGCAUUGUCCCUGAGCAAGCAUGACACACAAAUUCAUGAAGCAUUUCAUAUUUUU